RNAcentral lists this ribosomal RNA (390 nucleotides) under uncultured bacterium. Its description in RNAcentral is "bacterial SSU rRNA". It matches the Rfam family "Bacterial small subunit ribosomal RNA", at positions 29 to 416 of the family's 1533-position model. The record is from RNAcentral.
ACGAACGCUGGCGGCGUGCUUAACACAUGCAAGUCGAACGGUGAACCGGGCUUCGGCCCGGGGAUCAGUGGCGAACGGGUGCGUAACACGUGGGCAACCUGCCCCAGACUUUGGGAUAACUCCGGGAAACCGGGGACGUAAUACCGGACUACUCCGGCUGCACCGCAUGACGCGGCCGGGAAAGCUCCGACGGUCUGGGAUGGGCCCGCGGCCUAUCAGCUUGUUGGCGGGGUAACGGCCCACCAAGGCGACGACGGGUAGCGGUCUGAGAGGACGACCAGCCACACUGGGACUGAGAUACGGCCCAGACUCCUACGGGAGGCAGCAGUGGGGAAUCUUGCGCAAUGGGCGGAAGCCUGACGCAGCGACGUCGCGUGGGGGAUGAAGGCC